GCUGGGUGUAGUGGUGCGUGCCUGUAGUCCCAGCUACGUGAGAGGCUGAGGUGGGAUGAUCUCUUGAGCCUAGGAGGUCGAGGCUGCAGUAAGUGGUGAUUGCACUACUGCACUCUAGCCUAGGCUACAGAGUGAGACCCUGUCUCAA
RNAcentral lists this non-coding RNA (148 nucleotides) under Gorilla gorilla gorilla (western lowland gorilla). Lineage: Eukaryota; Metazoa; Chordata; Mammalia; Primates; Hominidae. The record is from Rfam by way of RNAcentral.